UGACUGAUUUUAAGUCCGCUAACUAGUUGGACGUCUUGUGACGCUUGUACAAUCAACGUUCGGCCUAGUCAUACAAUUGAAUAGCGCCAUCCAAUGAACACGCUAGUGGUUCAACCGAAAAGGAGAUUCAACCAGAUUCCUGCUACACAUACAUGAAAACAAUAUAAUAUCAGUUAUAUUGUAUCUUUAAGGUCGUCUUAUACCGUCCCGGGGUGGCAAGUACCCGGUGUUGUUGUACAAUCGCUACCCAUACCAGCACGUGAAUAGUGGAACAAAAGACAAGCUACUGUGGUACUGCAUUAAACGUGGCAGGCUGAAAUGUAGAGCUUACGUCAAAACGCACAAAGAAACCCCUGAAAUUCCAUUGGAAGUAAACGAAGUACACAACCACCAGCCUUCACAGUACCACAUCACAAAAACAGGACAAUAUAUCAUGAUUUAAAUUUCCAUUUCAAUGAAGACAUACAUCUGUUAUUAGAGGUCGUCUUAUACCGUCCCGGAGUGGCAAGCACCCGGUGUUGUUGUACAAUCGCUACUCAUACCAGCGCCACAGUGCACCCAGAGACAAGCUACUGUGGUACUGCAUUAAACGUGGCAGGCUGCAAUGUAGAGCUUACGUCAAAACGCACAAAGAAACCCCUGAAAUUCCAUUGGAAGUAAACGGGGUACACAACCACGAGCCUGCGCAGUACCACGUCACAAAAGAAGGGAAAUAUAUCAUGAUUUGAAUAACUUUGAAGAAAAAUUCAAUGAAGAAAUCACUAUUGUGUUUCGAUAGAUAGGGAUAAAAAUAUUGUGUGUACUUUUUAUGUGAGAAGCUGCAUCCUUGCAUGGCGUUUGUAGCAUGGAAUAAUAAAAUACAUUUCAACCUACUCCUACAACCUGUAUUUGUUAUAGUUUAGAACAUUAUCAGUCUCUUGCUCCUUAACGUCUACCAGGGUAAACUUGCUGGGUCUGACUUUCAGAGCUUGGGCAUCAUCCCGGCUACUCUGUUACAUUAGAUCACAAGCGUCCAUGCCAGGAUACAGCAUCAUCCAGGCUGCCAGUGCCAUAUUCUGAUCGAAAAUGGAACACAUGAUGCCGUGCCGUGGCGUGGCUAUGAAAGCUAGAAGUCAGAUUCUCAGACCACCCUGUUUAAAGGCAUCCUUUUACCGUCUCAGAAGGGAAAGCAUCCAUUACUAUUGUUCAGAAAUUACUCUUAUUUUUUUCAAACAUCUCCUAAGUGCAUUCGCUGGGUCUGUUCAAAAAGUAAAAGUGGGAAGUGUAAAGCAUAUCUGAAGGCAAACAUCAACACUAUCCAUGUACCGACCGAGAUAUUCGACGUACACAACCACGAACCGCCGAAGUACCACAUCACUAAAGAUGGAGAAUAUAUAAAAGUUUAAUGUAUUAAGUUUAUCUUGUGGUAUUGUCACACAGAGGAACUUCUGUACUAGCAUAUUGUUUUAUAGGUACAUUGCUUAAUACUUUUAAAUAGACCUACCGAUCAAAUAUAAUUUAUGUACUUUCAUUUUUGUUUUUUAUCAUAAUUCAUAAUAAUAAUUCAUAAUUCAUUUAUUUUCUCUUAAAUUUACAUCGUUAGCUUAAUAAUUAGGUAUAAUUAAUUAAUACAAAUUAAUAAUUGUAUAUUAAACAAAUUUACAAAUUGAUAAUAGGUAUAUCACAAUGUGUCAUUAAAUAAUUACAUAAUAUAAAAUAUAUAACAAAAGGUAUGUCAAAUUAGUUAAAUUAAAUUAAUACUUAUGUCAAAGAUAAUUAAAAUACAAAUUUUUGUACCUAUUGUACCUUAGCCAUACUUAUUUGUCAUUAAUAAAUUCGUCAAAUGUGUAAAAA
Plutella xylostella (diamondback moth) is the source of this 1833-nucleotide non-coding RNA. Lineage: Eukaryota; Metazoa; Arthropoda; Insecta; Lepidoptera; Plutellidae. The record is from RefSeq and is a predicted model, not a curated record.